AUACGGAGGAUGCAAGCGUUAUCCGGAUUUAUUGGGUUUAAAGGGUGCGUAGGCGGGACUGUAAGUCAGGGGUGAAAUACUGCAGCUUAACUGUAGCAUUGCCUUUGAAACUGCCGUUCUUGAGUACAGUUGAGGUAGGCGGAAUGUGGUGUGUAGCGGUGAAAUGCAUAGAUAUACCACAGAACGCCGAUUGCGAAGGCAGCUUAAAAAGCUCUUACUGACACUGAGGGCAGAAAGCGUGGGGAACAAACAGGGUUAGACACCCUGGUAGUCCACGCAGUAAACGAUGAUGACUAACCGCCGGCGAUAGACCGCCGGUGGCCAAGCGAAAGCGAUAAGUCAUCCACCUGGGGAGUACGACCGCAAGGUUGAAACUCAAAUGAAUUGACGGGG
Molecule: ribosomal RNA, 393 nt
Filed under: uncultured bacterium
Lineage: Bacteria
Description: partial 16S ribosomal RNA
Rfam family: Bacterial small subunit ribosomal RNA
Source: RNAcentral